Molecule: non-coding RNA, 208 nt
Organism: Penaeus vannamei (Pacific white shrimp)
Lineage: Eukaryota; Metazoa; Arthropoda; Malacostraca; Decapoda; Penaeidae
Source: RefSeq, a predicted model, not a curated record
AAGUCCAAGACGCGGUACCCACGACGUCGUAGCAGAAGGAAGCUGUUUUAUGAAGAAAGCAUUACUAAAGAUGACGAUUUUAUUUAUUGCGCAGACUGUGAAGAAGAGAAAGAGGGAGAGUGUCCGUACCAUCCAUUGUUCCUUAUUCUAGAUAAUCCCGUUGUUCGAGACGGCAGCGAGAAAGAUCGUGCUCGCCUCACAACCCCUG